Long non-coding RNA from Stylophora pistillata, 731 nucleotides. RefSeq lists it as uncharacterized. The record is from RefSeq and is a predicted model, not a curated record. Lineage: Eukaryota; Metazoa; Cnidaria; Anthozoa; Scleractinia; Pocilloporidae.
AAUUUAGACAGAGUCUUCCUCUACAGGAAAUGAGAAGGAGAUAUACAUUAAGGGUUGCGGUUAAACUGACUCACCCCGAUAACUACAAAAGCGCCUCCCAUAAAUUCAAUCAGGGUUCAACUGCUGUUUCGUUGAGAAAAGCCGAAGAAUGGCAGCCGUUUUAAGGUCGAUCUUUGGUUUCCCCUUGUGCUGCUUUCCUUGUUUAGGGAAAGCGAAGAAAAAUCCAGCGUCACAGGCCAGUGGAAUCGUUGGUGAUUUGUGUGGCUCAUCUGGAGCAGAGGAGAAAUGUCCCUUAUUUAAAAUUUUCGAUGGAUCUUCCUCAAGCGCAAAUGGUCAACAGAAAAUUCCAACUGGAAAGAAGAAGACUUCCAUUCGUGGUUCUUGAGAGACGAUUGCGAGACAAGUUGACCCCAUUAUGUCACUGUUGUCCGACCUCGUGGGCCAAUGUUUGGAAGUAAUUCAGAUAAAUUUAGUUCGCUAACAUUUAUAAAUAGGAUUAUUGGCAGAGAAAUAGUAAGAUAUAACUCUCGCAGCGAUACAUAUAUCAAUAACAAUGAGUUCCAUCUUCAACAAUGUAUGCAAUGUUAAAAUAGCACCUGUAAACAUACAACAGUAAGGAGGCCGAGUUCGACCAUAAAUCUGACACAUAUUAAUUGUACAACACGGGUUUAUAACGCUGUGGUCUGUGGAGACUCUUUUGUAAGCUUGUAGACAUUGCAAACGUGACAAAU